AGUGAACGCUGGCGGUAGGCCUAACACAUGCAAGUCGAACGGCAGCAUAGUAAGAGCUUGCUCUUACGGGUGGCGAGUGGCGGACGGGUGAGGAAUACAUCGGAAUCUACUUUUUCGUGGGGGAUAACGUAGGGAAACUUACGCUAAUACCGCAUACGACCUACGGGUGAAAGCAGGGGAUCUUCGGACCUUGCGCGAUUGAAUGAGCCGAUGUCGGAUUAGCUAGUUGGCGGGGUAAAGGCCCACCAAGGCGACGACCCGUAGCUGGUCUGAGAGGAUGAUCAGCCACACUGGAACUGAGACACGGUCCAGACUCCUACGGGAGGCAGCAGUGGGGAAUAUUGGACAAUGGGCGCAAGCCUGAUCCAGCCAUACCGCGUGGGUGAAGAAGGCCUUCGGGUUGUAAAGCCCUUUUGUUGGGAAAGAAAAGCAGCAGGUUAAUACCCCGCUGUUCUGACGGUACCCAAAGAAUAAGCACCGGCUAACUUCGUG
Molecule: ribosomal RNA, 492 nt
Filed under: uncultured bacterium
Lineage: Bacteria
Description: partial 16S ribosomal RNA
Rfam family: Bacterial small subunit ribosomal RNA
Source: RNAcentral